UACCCCCAGGGGAAGUCGAAUCCCCGUUUCCUCC
RNAcentral lists this transfer RNA (34 nucleotides) under Turnera longiflora. RNAcentral describes it as "partial tRNA-Glu". The record is from RNAcentral. Lineage: Eukaryota; Viridiplantae; Streptophyta; Magnoliopsida; Malpighiales; Passifloraceae.